RNAcentral lists this ribosomal RNA (301 nucleotides) under uncultured bacterium. RNAcentral describes it as "partial 16S ribosomal RNA". It matches the Rfam family "Bacterial small subunit ribosomal RNA", at positions 509 to 807 of the family's 1533-position model. The record is from RNAcentral.
CAGUCGCCACGGUAAAACGGAGGGUGCAAGCGUUAAUCGGAAUUACUGGGCGUAAAGCGUGCGUAGGCGGUUCGUUAAGUCUGUUGUGAAAGCCCCGGGCUCAACCUGGGAAUGGCAAUGGAUACUGGCGAGCUAGAGUGUGUCAGAGGAUGGUGGAAUUCCCGGUGUAGCGGUGAAAUGCGUAGAGAUCGGGAGGAACAUCAGUGGCGAAGGCGGCCAUCUGGGACAACACUGACGCUGGGGCACGAAAGCGUGGGGAGCAAACAGGAUUAGAUACCCGCGUAGUCCCUGUCUCUUAUAC